Molecule: long non-coding RNA, 438 nt
Filed under: Homo sapiens (human)
Lineage: Eukaryota; Metazoa; Chordata; Mammalia; Primates; Hominidae
Description: non-protein coding lnc-CCDC82-9:1
Source: RNAcentral
GUUCUCUGGGCAGCCACUGGGGCCACACCACCCCUGCUGGGGCGCCCCGCCUCAUCUUUUGGUGCUUGCUUUGCUUCUCUGGUGAGUUAGGACUAUGUCAAUGGCACCAAUCAGGAAGAAUUCAAACGGGUAUUGAUCAGAGUAUUCAGAAGCUUCCGGAUAUUGUAAACAAACAAUAUAUUUUCAUACAGAAAAAAUAUUGCAAUUAACUGUCCAGAAACCAGAGCAAGUUAUCAAAAAGAGGAUGUCUCAGAACCAAGGAAUGAAUUACAGGAAAAGAUGUGCUGGUCCAGAAGUAAUUGACAAAACUGAGGCAUUGGCAGCAGAUGCUGCAGGAUAUUAAGGUGUAGUACAAAAGCCAGCCGACAUCCCUCAGGCUCCUUGGCCUACCUUGAGCAGGUGUCUGCCAAUAUCCCUGAACCUCUGAAGCUGACUUGA